CCAAGGAGUCUAACAUGUGCGCGAGUCAUUGGGUUUCAAACUAAACCUAAAGGCGCAAUGAAAGUGAAGGUCGUACCUUGCGUCGACCGAGGGAAGAUGGCUCGCGUUACGAUGCGAGCCCGCACUCCCGGGGCGUCUCGUGCUCAUUGCGAGCAGAGGCGCACCCAGAGCGUACACGUUGGGACCCGAAAGAUGGUGAACUAUGCCUGGUCAGGACGAAGUCAGGGGAAACCCUGAUGGAGGUCCGUAGCGAUUCUGACGUGCAAAUCGAUCGUCGGAACUGGGUAUAGGGGCGAAAGACUAAUCGAACCAUC
This 314-nucleotide ribosomal RNA is filed under the name Encarsia dispersa. RNAcentral describes it as "eukaryotic LSU rRNA". It matches the Rfam family "Eukaryotic large subunit ribosomal RNA", at positions 666 to 944 of the family's 3401-position model. Lineage: Eukaryota; Metazoa; Arthropoda; Insecta; Hymenoptera; Aphelinidae. The record is from RNAcentral.